This 338-nucleotide unclassified non-coding RNA is filed under the name soil metagenome. RNAcentral's name for it is "partial contains 5.8S ribosomal RNA, internal transcribed spacer 2, and large subunit ribosomal RNA". The stretch from base 1 to 120 matches the Rfam family "5.8S ribosomal RNA", at positions 35 to 154 of the family's 154-position model. The record is from RNAcentral.
GAUGAAGAACGUAGCGAAAUGCGAUAAGUAAUGUGAAUUGCAGAAUUCCGUGAAUCAUCGAAUCUUUGAACGCACAUUGCGCCCCCUGGUAUUCCGGGGGGCAUGCCUGUCCGAGCGUCAUUGCAACCCUCAAGCGCGGCUUGUGUGUUGGGCUUCGUCCCCCCGUGGACGUGCCCGAAAGGCAGUGGCGGCGUCCCGAAUGGUGCCCGAGCGUAUGGGAACUCUCUUCCGCUCGAACCGGCCCAUUCGGCGCUGGUCGAACCCCAAUUUUUUUUUACCGGUUGACCUCGGAUCAGGUAGGGAUACCCGCUGAACUUAAGCAUAUCAAUAAGCGGAGG